RNAcentral lists this ribosomal RNA (506 nucleotides) under uncultured bacterium. RNAcentral's name for it is "bacterial SSU rRNA". It matches the Rfam family "Bacterial small subunit ribosomal RNA", at positions 30 to 530 of the family's 1533-position model. The record is from RNAcentral.
AUUGAACGCUGGCGGAAUGCUUUACACAUGCAAGUCGAACGGUAGAGGGGGCAACCCCUUGAGAGUGGCGAACGGGUGAGUAAUAUAUCGGAACGUGCCCAGUCGUGGGGAUAACGUAGCGAAAGUUACGCUAAUACCGCAUACGAUCUAAGGAUGAAGGCGGGGGAUCGCAAGACCUCGCGCGAUUGGAGCGGCCGAUAUCAGAUUAGGUAGUUGGUGAGGUAAAGGCUCACCAAGCCAACGAUCUGUAGCUGGUCUGAGAGGACGACCAGCCACACUGGAACUGAGACACGGUCCAGACUCCUACGGGAGGCAGCAGUGGGGAAUUUUGGACAAUGGACGCAAGUCUGAUCCAGCCAUUCCGCGUGCAGGAUGAAGGCCCUCGGGUUGUAAACUGCUUUUGUACGGAACGAAAAAGGUUUCUCGUUAAUACGAGGAGCUCAUGACGGUACCGUAAGAAUAAGCACCGGCUAACUACGUGCCAGCAGCCGCGGUAAAGUGACUAC